This 165-nucleotide ribosomal RNA is filed under the name Salmonella enterica subsp. enterica serovar Infantis. RNAcentral's name for it is "partial 23S ribosomal RNA". It matches the Rfam family "Bacterial large subunit ribosomal RNA", at positions 2778 to 2925 of the family's 2925-position model. Lineage: Bacteria; Pseudomonadati; Pseudomonadota; Gammaproteobacteria; Enterobacterales; Enterobacteriaceae. RNAcentral also lists the same sequence under 3 other names. The record is from RNAcentral.
CAUCUAAGCACGAAACUUGCCCCGAGAUGAGUUCUCCCUGAGACUUAGAGUCUCCUGAAGGAACGUUGAAGACGACGACGUUGAUAGGCCGGGUGUGUAAGCGCAGCGAUGCGUUGAGCUAACCGGUACUAAUGAACCGUGAGGCUUAACCUUACAACGCCGAAG